UACGGAGGGUCCGAGCGUUAAUCGGAAUUACUGGGCGUAAAGCGUGCGUAGGCGGCCUGUUAAGUCAGAUGUGAAAGCCCCGGGCUUAACCUGGGAACUGCAUCUGAUACUGGGAGGCUAGAAUGUGGGAGAGGAGAGUGGAAUUUCCGGUGUAGCGGUGAAAUGCAUAGGGAUCGGAAGGAACACCAGUGGCGAAGGCGGCUCUCUGGACCAACAUUGACGCUGAGGCACGAAAGCGUGGGUAGCAAACAGG
Molecule: ribosomal RNA, 253 nt
Filed under: uncultured bacterium
Lineage: Bacteria
Description: partial 16S ribosomal RNA
Rfam family: Bacterial small subunit ribosomal RNA
Source: RNAcentral